UAUAUCCUCUUGUUUCUCCCUGGGAACCAGAGUACUAGUUAUGGACAAGAGCAUCUACUGACCUGACAGUAAAACACCCCAUUGGCCUGAAUUUGAGUUGCAAAUAUCUGCACGAACUCAUGAGGCUCCCUACCUGUUCUCCGUCUAUCCACAUACACCGAUACAUAUAUUUUUGAGUAUACGUAUUUACCUACUGCCUAGAAACAAUGACCAGUAGUAACAAGUACUCCUAGUACCCAGAUUAUGGACUUGAAAUACCAUUUCUCCCUGGAAAAUGAUUGCAACUGUGGGACAAGAACAUACAAGAUAAGCCGAAAACACUGUGAUAUGCGAGGCUGCAAGGACGCUACUGAAGGCUACUAGCGUCACGUGAGAAGGAUUCAGAAGCCAGAAUGAAGAAGCCGCCGCUGGCCAAAGAUGGGACAAUCGAGCUGCAAUACGGGUAUGAGGAAUCCAUCAACAGACCACCUAGAAGACUCUCACAGACCAGCUGAUCUAGUCACCGCACUCAGAACCCAACAACGACUCCGGCAGAAGAUGCUAUUUUCAGACGCUGCUCAGCACAACAGAACAGGGAGCAAAACGUACGUUACUCAUGUGAAUCUGCAAAUGUGUAUGGCAAGCGGAGGAGAGAAUGUUCUUGGAUAAAACACAGGUACCGGCCAUCAGAACUGUAACAGUCCAAGUGCAGUGUGCAUUUAAAAAACAUUUUCAAAGCGGUCUCAUUUCUAAACAUCGAACUGGAUGCAGCAGGCAAAAACUCCCUCCAUAUCAUCUCGUCCUGCAUCAUCUCCGUGCCACGGUCCACUCACUCCUCAGCCAGGCAUCCACCCCGGCCCAGCUCUCAGGUGUGCAUUCCCUCGGCCCCUAAGCCCAUGGUGAACACUAUUCUAGAUUUAUCCUGAUUGCAGACUCACUUCACAAAUGUGGAUCGGAUUUCACCUGCAAACUGCUUAAGAGUCAGGAAGGUGAAAUGGGAAGAGAGCUCACGCUGCUGCGUCUGUGUCUCACGUCCGAUUCUAUACAAAUGACUCACAGAACCUGUCACUUAAUCCUCACGGGCGUCCACGAGGUAGAUAUUCCUAAGCCUAUUUUACAGAUGAUGAACGGAAAGUUCCGAAAGGCACGGCGACCUGGUAAGACGAUAAACUCAAUGAGCAGCUGGGUGGCUCCCCGGGGCCCACGAUGUCCGUACCAGCACCUGUCCCUACCCCUCACCAGAGCACCCCCGCCGCGGCAGGCAGACAAGACGCUCCAAUGCUUCUCCGCCACGAGCCAAGUUGAAGGGUCAGUAAGUGGGUCGUCUCCUGACGGUACUUUGCUAAUGAUAUUUUACGACCAAAGUCUGGCCCUGUCUGUGGCUCUCAAGGAAAACAAACAACCUGGUGAACAAGCAUUAUCAUCCCAGGUGUGAUAACAACGAUCCCACCCUCUGCACCGCGAACCAGAAUACUAGGGGCUUUCUAACAGGCUGUACCCCUGGGAAAAGAAAGAUUUCAGAUUGUAAAUGAUUUAUUAAAUUGACUUGGGAGGCUAUUUUAAAAAAUGGUAACUCUAGGGCUGCAUUUUAUACCCCUUCCCUGAACAGGAGGAAAAGGUUUGAUAAGCACCUUAUUGUCCUGCCUGUCACUUAUUGCAACCUUACGAACCAUAUGCAUACCUUAUGAAUCGGCAGUAUUUCUGCUCCUUGGAGAAUGUGUAAUUGUUGUUAGCUGAAAAGGGAGUGUUCAAGGCUUAUGCUAUUUCUUCUUAAAAUGUUUAUCAUUUCUUUUGCCUAAAACUUCAAAUGAAGUAAGAUUCUCUUCUUGCUUCAAAUGAUCCAGAAGAGAAACUCAAAAAUUUACUGCAGUAAUUUCAGAUCGAAGUCAGUAUCUAAAAUCCCUAACCACGAAUCUCCUUGUGUAUCCUUUGCAUGCUAUGAAAAUAAAACAAGUGGGACUAAGUA
Long non-coding RNA from Felis catus (domestic cat), 1945 nucleotides. RefSeq lists it as uncharacterized. The transcript is spliced from 2 exons. The record is from RefSeq and is a predicted model, not a curated record. Lineage: Eukaryota; Metazoa; Chordata; Mammalia; Carnivora; Felidae.